GCCUGGCUAGCUCAGUCGGUAGAGCUUGAGACUCUUAAUCUCAGGGUCUUGGGUUCGAGCCCCACGUUGCGCG
Molecule: transfer RNA, 73 nt
Filed under: Danionella translucida
Lineage: Eukaryota; Metazoa; Chordata; Actinopteri; Cypriniformes; Danionidae
Also listed under: 1 other name
Rfam family: tRNA
About the family: Transfer RNA (tRNA) molecules are approximately 80 nucleotides in length.
Source: Rfam by way of RNAcentral